UGUCUGUCGAUGAGGUUUGAUGUGUGGGACUGGCCUGGAGCAAUAACAUGUCUUUAUUGGCCAUGGUCAAGAGGACUGGCCCACAAGGCAUCCAUCCACCACCAUUCAAGGAGACACCAUGGAUGCCUCAGAAGAAGCACUGGUAAGGCUGUCUCCUGCACCCUCCACCAGCUGAGAUCCUGACACUUUGUCUCUGUCCAGGUGCAAAUGCAACCUUGAAGGUACAAUCUUAUCCCGAGAUGAUGUUCCAUGGACCAAGGAGGACUCGGAUGCAAAGCAGCUGUAACAGGGUUCUGGCACUAACCUAACAAAGGAUGAAUAUGUAUUUAUCUGCAGC
Long non-coding RNA from Rhincodon typus (whale shark), 337 nucleotides. RefSeq lists it as uncharacterized. The transcript is spliced from 4 exons. Lineage: Eukaryota; Metazoa; Chordata; Chondrichthyes; Orectolobiformes; Rhincodontidae. The record is from RefSeq and is a predicted model, not a curated record.